UACGAAGGGGGCGAGCGUUAUUCGGAAUCACUGGGCGUAAAGCGUGCGUAGGCGGUUUUGUAAGUUAGGAGUGAAAGCCCAGGGCUCAACCCUGGAAUUGCUCUUAAAACUACAAGGCUAGAAUGUCGGAGAGGAUAGCGGAAUUUCCAGUGUAGCAGUGAAAUGCGUAGAUAUUGGAAGGAACACCAGUGGCGUAAGCGGCUAUCUGGACGACUAUUGACGCUGAGGCACGAAAGCGUGGGGAUCAAACAGG
RNAcentral lists this ribosomal RNA (253 nucleotides) under uncultured bacterium. RNAcentral's name for it is "partial 16S ribosomal RNA". It matches the Rfam family "Bacterial small subunit ribosomal RNA", at positions 524 to 776 of the family's 1533-position model. The record is from RNAcentral.